Molecule: ribosomal RNA, 253 nt
Filed under: uncultured bacterium
Lineage: Bacteria
Description: partial 16S ribosomal RNA
Rfam family: Bacterial small subunit ribosomal RNA
Source: RNAcentral
GACGUAGGGUCCGAGCGUUGUUCGGAAUUACUGGGCGUAAAGGGCGCGUAGGCGGCCUUCUAAGUCGAACGUGAAAUCCCUGGGCUCAACCCAGGAACUGCGUCCGAUACUGGAAGGCUUGAAUCCGGGAGAGGGAUGCGGAAUUCCAGGUGUAGCGGUGAAAUGCGUAGAUAUCUGGAGGAACACCGGUGGCGAAGGCGGCAUCCUGGACCGGUAUUGACGCUGAGGCGCGAAAGCCAGGGGAGCAAACGGG